RNAcentral lists this microRNA (20 nucleotides) under Ananas comosus (pineapple). RNAcentral's name for it is "microRNA s0766_c100a". The record is from RNAcentral. Lineage: Eukaryota; Viridiplantae; Streptophyta; Magnoliopsida; Poales; Bromeliaceae.
CAGUCUGUCAAUCCUUGCUU